Molecule: ribosomal RNA, 1297 nt
Filed under: Staphylococcus aureus
Lineage: Bacteria; Bacillati; Bacillota; Bacilli; Caryophanales; Staphylococcaceae
Description: partial 23S ribosomal RNA
Rfam family: Bacterial large subunit ribosomal RNA
Source: RNAcentral
GCUUGUUGGGGUUGUAGGACACUCUAUACGGAGUUACAAAGGACGACAUUAGACGAAUCAUCUGGAAAGAUGAAUCAAAGAAGGUAAUAAUCCUGUAGUCGAAAAUGUUGUCUCUCUUGAGUGGAUCCUGAGUACGACGGAGCACGUGAAAUUCCGUCGGAAUCUGGGAGGACCAUCUCCUAAGGCUAAAUACUCUCUAGUGACCGAUAGUGAACCAGUACCGUGAGGGAAAGGUGAAAAGCACCCCGGAAGGGGAGUGAAAUAGAACCUGAAACCGUGUGCUUACAAGUAGUCAGAGCCCGUUAAUGGGUGAUGGCGUGCCUUUUGUAGAAUGAACCGGCGAGUUACGAUUUGAUGCAAGGUUAAGCAGUAAAUGUGGAGCCGUAGCGAAAGCGAGUCUGAAUAGGGCGUUUAGUAUUUGGUCGUAGACCCGAAACCAGGUGAUCUACCCUUGGUCAGGUUGAAGUUCAGGUAACACUGAAUGGAGGACCGAACCGACUUACGUUGAAAAGUGAGCGGAUGAACUGAGGGUAGCGGAGAAAUUCCAAUCGAACCUGGAGAUAGCUGGUUCUCUCCGAAAUAGCUUUAGGGCUAGCCUCAAGUGAUGAUUAUUGGAGGUAGAGCACUGUUUGGACGAGGGGCCCCUCUCGGGUUACCGAAUUCAGACAAACUCCGAAUGCCAAUUAAUUUAACUUGGGAGUCAGAACAUGGGUGAUAAGGUCCGUGUUCGAAAGGGAAACAGCCCAGACCACCAGCUAAGGUCCCAAAAUAUAUGUUAAGUGGAAAAGGAUGUGGCGUUGCCCAGACAACUAGGAUGUUGGCUUAGAAGCAGCCAUCAUUUAAAGAGUGCGUAAUAGCUCACUAGUCGAGUGACACUGCGCCGAAAAUGUACCGGGGCUAAACAUAUUACCGAAGCUGUGGAUUGUCCUUUGGACAAUGGUAGGAGAGCGUUCUAAGGGCGUUGAAGCAUGAUCGUAAGGACAUGUGGAGCGCUUAGAAGUGAGAAUGCCGGUGUGAGUAGCGAAAGAUGGGUGAGAAUCCCGUCCACCGAUUGACUAAGGUUUCCAGAGGAAGGCUCGUCCGCUCUGGGUUAGUCGGGUCCUAAGCUGAGGCCGACAGGCGUAGGCGAUGGAUAACAGGUUGAUAUUCCUGUACCACCUAUAAUCGUUUUAAUCGAUGGGGGGACGCAGUAGGAUAGGCGAAGCGUGCGAUUGGAUUGCACGUCUAAGCAGUAAGGCUGAGUAUUAGGCAAAUCCGGUACUCGUUAAGGCUGAGCUGUGAUGGGGAGAAGACAUUG